This 69-nucleotide ribosomal RNA is filed under the name Synergistales bacterium. RNAcentral's name for it is "partial 16S ribosomal RNA". It matches the Rfam family "Bacterial small subunit ribosomal RNA", at positions 1 to 69 of the family's 1533-position model. Lineage: Bacteria; Thermotogati; Synergistota; Synergistia; Synergistales. RNAcentral also lists the same sequence under 1 other name. The record is from RNAcentral.
CUCAUGGAGAGUUUGAUCCUGGCUCAGGACGAACGCUGGCGGCGUGCCUAACACAUGCAAGUCGUGCGG